UUGUCGCUAACUAAGCUGAUGAAGUCCCCUUUCCAAUAAGGAUCCGAAGUGCAAUGGUUGCAAAUAGCAGCCUCCUUGGUAGUGUGUGCAGCGUGAUGCCUAUAUGGGUCGCCCUAAGAGUCCUUGGAGACAAAU
Molecule: small nucleolar RNA, 135 nt
Organism: Mesocricetus auratus (golden hamster)
Lineage: Eukaryota; Metazoa; Chordata; Mammalia; Rodentia; Cricetidae
Gene: SNORA70
Rfam family: Small nucleolar RNA SNORA70
About the family: snoRNA U70 seems to be exclusive to mammals and is a member of the H/ACA class of snoRNA which contain H (ANANNA) and ACA box motifs.
Source: Ensembl